GACGAACGCUGGCGGCGCGCCUAACACAUGCAAGUCGAACGAGCGAGAGAGAGCUUGCUUUCUCGAGCGAGUGGCGAACGGGUGAGUAACGCGUGAGGAACCUGCCUCAAAGAGGGGGACAACAGUUGGAAACGACUGCUAAUACCGCAUAAGCCCACGGUGCCGCAUGGCACAGAGGGAAAAGGAGCAAUCCGCUUUGAGAUGGCCUCGCGUCCGAUUAGCUAGUUGGUGAGGUAAUGGCCCACCAAGGCGACGAUCGGUAGCCGGACUGAGAGGUUGAACGGCCACACUGGGGCUGAGACACGGCCCAGACUCCUACGGGAGGCAGCAGUGGGGAAUAUUGCACAAUGGGGGAAACCCUGAUGCAGCGACGCCGCGUGGAGGAAGAAGGUCUUCGGAUUGUAAACUCCUGUUGUUGGGGAAGAUAAUGACGGUACCCAACAAGGAAGUGACGGCUAACUACGUG
This 466-nucleotide ribosomal RNA is filed under the name uncultured bacterium. RNAcentral describes it as "partial 16S ribosomal RNA". It matches the Rfam family "Bacterial small subunit ribosomal RNA", at positions 28 to 507 of the family's 1533-position model. The record is from RNAcentral.